Molecule: non-coding RNA, 97 nt
Organism: Acanthosepion pharaonis
Lineage: Eukaryota; Metazoa; Mollusca; Cephalopoda; Sepiida; Sepiidae
Source: the annotation of a GenBank genome assembly
UUGAAACACUGCACCUGUAUGAUCACUGAAGUUAAGCAACAUCAAGCCUGGUCAGUACCUAGAUGGGUGACCACUAGGGAAUUCCAGGUGCUGUAAG